AAAGACUCUUUCCUCUCUGCCACAGCUUGCUGGGAAAUACAGCCCAAAGUCAAGGUGGAGGAGGUGAAGACAAAUGUUGGAAAUGAACAACCAGUAGUUUUCAUGUCCUGCAGAGAAGGUGGGCCCCAGAGCACAUAUCAUGUGGUGAGAUGGAAAGCUGCCCAAUGAAGAGUUUUCUAGAGCUGGUUGGAUGCCUCAGCCAUGUUCGGUGCACAGCUUCUAUCACACGUCCAGAGCAGUCACUCUGGGUCUUGCUAUUGCCCAACGGUGGAAGGGCCAGAGGUAUGUACGAACAUCCCUUUUUAGGGACAUGUGCUGGAGAUAUGACGUCGCUUCUGCUUAUACCCCAUUGUGCAG
Molecule: long non-coding RNA, 357 nt
Filed under: Vulpes vulpes (red fox)
Lineage: Eukaryota; Metazoa; Chordata; Mammalia; Carnivora; Canidae
Description: lncRNA (ENSVVUG00000018028.1)
Source: RNAcentral